RNAcentral lists this small RNA (613 nucleotides) under Vigna angularis var. angularis. Its description in RNAcentral is "Non-protein coding transcript". The record is from RNAcentral. Lineage: Eukaryota; Viridiplantae; Streptophyta; Magnoliopsida; Fabales; Fabaceae.
UUUUGGAAUUUUAUUUUGGGACUUAAAGAGAGAUGCCACAUCAUUUAUAUUGUAAUUUUUCUUAUUUCAUUUCAUUGUAAUUUGCAUUUGAAUUCCAUUUCAAUGUAAUUUGGGACAAAUUGGAAAAUAGGCCAAGAUUGGAAGGGCAAAGUUGGAAUAUGGGUUUAUAAGAAGAAAAAAUUAGAUUGGGAAAGGAUCCCCUUCCUUUCACUUGUAGGACGUUGCUGAAAUGUAGAAAGCGGGCAACUUUCUUCUUCUCCCCAUUUUUGGGGACGUUCCAAGGGUCUUGUAGCUGGAUGUUUAGGGCAAUUUUGGAAUUUUAUUUUGGGACUUAAAGAGAGAUGCCACAUCAUUUAUAUUGUAAUUUUUCUUAUUUUAUUUCAUUGUAAUUUGCAUUUGAAUUCCAUUUCAAUGUAAUUUGGGACAAAUUAAAAAAUAGGCCAAAAUUGGAAGGGCAAAGUUGGAAUAUGGGUUUAUAAGAAGCAAAAAUUAGAUUGGGAAAGGAUCCCCAUUCUUUCACUUGCUGGACGUUGCUGAAAUGUAGAAAGGGGGCAACUUUCUUCUUCUUCCCAUUUUUGGGGACGUUCCAAGGGCCUUGUAGCUGGAUGUUUAG